Molecule: long non-coding RNA, 543 nt
Organism: Oncorhynchus tshawytscha (Chinook salmon)
Lineage: Eukaryota; Metazoa; Chordata; Actinopteri; Salmoniformes; Salmonidae
Source: Ensembl
GUGUGUGUACUGUAUGUGUGAGAGCCCCAGUGUGUGUACUGUAUGUGUGAGAACCCCAGUGUGUGUACUGUAGGUGUGAGAGCCCCAGUGUGUGUACUGUAUGUGUGAGAGCCCCAGUGUGUGUACUGUAUGUGUGAGAGCCCCAGUGUGUGUACUGUAGGUGUGAGAGCCCCAGUGUGUGUACUGUAGGUGUGCUUUUGGAUCCCCUUUUUCCAUUACUUGAACUCUACUUGGGCAAUAACAUGUUUUCUCUGCAUUGUUGCCUUUUCCUCUCCUCUCUUUCUUCUCCUGCUUUCUGAGGUACUGUGCUUUAAUCGUACAAAACCUUACAAGACAGAAGCUUUAGCUAGAGUCGUGUCUUCCUUAUGCAGCUGGGCCUUUAUAUUCAGAUUCUGCUUUCACUAGAAUGUCUUUGUUUAUCACUUUCCACAUUUCUUCCCAUUUUGUCUCAUCUCUCCUGAAAGGGCCUUAGUACUCCUUAAGCUGCUCAUCCAAGUUUCAGUUUGUUUAUGUAUUAAUGUAUUUGUAUGUAAGUAUGUAUGG